GCUUAACACAUGCAAGUCGAACGGGACCUGUCAUGUAGCUUGCUACGAGGCGGGUCUAGUGGCGAACGGGUGAGUAACGCGUGGGCAACCUGCCCCGGAGACCGGGAUAACCCGGGGAAACCCGGGCUAAUACCGGAUAUCCUGCCUUUCCCGCAUGGCAUCGGCAGGAAACGUUGAGUAAUCUUCGCUCCGGAUGGGCUCGCGUCCCAUUAGCUCGACGGUAGGGUAACGGCCUACCGUGGCAACGAUGGGUAGCCGGCCUGAGAGGGCGACCGGCCACACUGGGACUGAGAUAAGGCCCAGACUCCUACGGGAGGCAGCAGUGGGGAAUAUUGCGCAAUGGGCGAAAGCCUGACGCAGCGACGCCGCGUGGGCGAAGAAGGCCUUCGGGUUGUAAAGCCCUGUCAGGAGGGACGAAGGGAAACUGACGGUACCUCCAGAGGAAGCCCCGGCCAACUACGUGCCAGCCGCCGCCGUAA
Molecule: ribosomal RNA, 479 nt
Filed under: uncultured bacterium
Lineage: Bacteria
Description: partial 16S ribosomal RNA
Rfam family: Bacterial small subunit ribosomal RNA
Source: RNAcentral